Hibiscus syriacus is the source of this 324-nucleotide long non-coding RNA. RefSeq lists it as uncharacterized. The transcript has 3 exons. Lineage: Eukaryota; Viridiplantae; Streptophyta; Magnoliopsida; Malvales; Malvaceae. The record is from RefSeq and is a predicted model, not a curated record.
CAGUACUGGAAACCGCUGUAGUGAUGUCUCCCCCAAUUGAGCCUCCAGCCAAGUCCUUCGACUCUCAAAAUUCUUCACAUCCUCCUUUGAAUGAAAGGACCCUUUCUUCAAUGACCAGGAGAUCCGUCGCUGCGCACCCAUGGCAUGAACUUGAGAUUGGACUUGGAACUUCUACGAUUUUUAACUGCGUGGUUGAAAUUGGAAAAGGGAGAAAGGUGAAAUAUGAACUUGACAAGAGAACUGGUUUGAUCAAGAUUGAUCGUAUCAUUUAUUCAUCAGUUGUGUAUCCUCACAACUAUGAUCUUCUUCCCGCAUACUCUUUUG